CUAAAGCCAACCGCACCCACGAUCCUUCUGCGCCGCCGUCCACGCUCCACCCACCUCCCUCCUCCUCUCUCUCCUUGCGCGAUGCAGACCACGCCGCCACGAUCCAGAUCAAGCCGCCGCUCCGUCGACGGAUCCCUUCUCCCUCGGCGCCGUGCUGCUGGGAGGGCGCUGCACGCCGGCCGCCAGGGCACGAACGCCAUGGAAGGCCUUCGUCACCCACGCCGCCACCGACGGAUUGCGGCGGCCGAGGUGCGUUCGUCCUUUCCGGGAAGGGGAAAAUCAUGGGCUGCCCUUUCCGGGAAGAGCUCUGCCGCAUACGCCGCCGUGGAAAAAGGAGGGGAAGGAGUUCCGGCAGCUGCCAAUGAAGAAAACGGCGCGAGUCCCUACGCCCCCACUGCGACAGGCUUGUACAUCCCGUCCCGCCCCGAUCCGACCCGCUGCAACAUCGACCUUCGCUUUACUCCGACGAAUCCCUGCGACAUCUCUUCUCCGUGGCCGCCUCCAGCAGCGACACAGCGGGAUUGGUCAGUCUGCUCGCAGUUGCCAUCAAACUCUAGGACGCUCUCUGCCUUUCCUAUUGGGGUGAGUGAAAUUUGAGAGGGUUCGAUUUAUAUUGUGUCUAUUGCCAAUACAGUAACCUCAAAUCCUCAAUGUCUGCUCUGCUAUUGUUAUCCGAUUGAAAAAAAAAGGAUGUCAAUCGUUCUUGGGCUCGUGGCUAUAAGCGGGGGCAGAUGGAGUGGCCAGGUAUGCUUUCUCUCUCGAACUGCUUUGGUUACGUAUUGUUUAUUGAUUGAUCAAUUGAUGUUUGUAGGGUGUCCUGUUGCUGAUUGAUGUCAUGGCCAAUCUUGCAAUGUGCGCUCCUUUUGUCUUCAGGUUGCAUCUGCGUCCAUCUCCACUUGGAAGACGUCUGUGGGCUGAUAUUUCUUACACUAAUUUUUUCUUCUACUAGUGAUGUGUUCUUCUUCCGUCUAAGAGUGAUGUGUUCAGCUGGCAAUAACUGCAAAAUCGCACGUUGCCUUGAUUAUGAAUAUCUGCAUAAUUUUUUAUCAUCGUGACUUAAUUCGGAUUAAUCUAAUUUGAGAGUUUCAUAUUGGUCACAAGGUGUCUCCCUCUCACACCAGAUUAUUCCCUACGGUGGAGAAAUUAACCAUCUUGCAAGAAGAACGAGGAUAUGGACAAGCUAAAGCACAUGGAAGAUGGCUAGGCCAUGGAUCUGAUCUGGGAAGAAACAAAAUACGAAACGUAUUUUCAUGUUGUAUACUUUGGAACACCAUCUACCAUCUGUUCAAUGCUGAAACCCAGCGAUGGAGUUUGUCAGUAUUCUUUGACAUCAACUACGAACUGCAUGUGCAGGUUUUGAACUGCCAUGAUUCUGCUAUCUACAUAUAUAUUAGCACCGGUAAAUUAUGCUACCAAGUAUAAAUGUUCUGAUACUAUUAUUCUUGGUGAUGUUGGUAAGUGUGCAUCAGAUUUGGUUAUUCCUAACAUGCUGUGUUAUGUCGAUCCAAUUUUCUUUGAUAUAGUUUGCUUCUUGGCAAAAUAGCAGAAUUACUUGCCGUUGAAAUAUAUUUUGUUUGCAGGGUGUAGUGCUAUUUAGCAUAAGUUCUGAAGUUUCCUUUGUUUAGUUCCAAAAGAAAAUAGUACUGUGAAAAUAAAACAUGUUGAACAAGUUAGGUGUAUAUUUACCAAAAUUUAUAUUUUCUCAUGGACAGUUUCCCAAGAGACAAUGGAGAAAAGGAUUAUAAAUACUUGCAAUAGACGUGGAUAAUAUGUCAGUAUUCUCUAACAUCAACUACAAACUGCUUGUGCAGGUUUUCAACUGCCAUGAUUCUGCUAUCAACAUAUAUAUUAUCACCAGUAAAUUAUGCUACCAAGUAUAAAUGUUCUGAUACUACUAUUCUUGGUGCUGUUGGUAAGUAUGCAUCAGAUUUGGUUAUUCCUCACACGCUGUGUUAUGUCAAUCCAAUUUUCUUCGAUAUAGUUUGUUCCUUGGCAAAAUAGCAGAAUUACUUGCCAUUGAAAUAUAUUUUGUUCGCAGGGUGUAGUGCUAUUUAGCAUAAGUUCUGAAGUUUUCUUUGUUCAGUUCCAAAAGAAAAUAGUGUUCAGUUUAUUCUUGUCAACAUAGCAAAUGCCAGCAAGACUCAUUAUUUUCUUUCUUUCUGGAAAUAAAAGAAGAGAGAUAUAAUCUGUUUAUUCUUGUGCAUUAUCUAAUCUGGUAAUGAAUACGUGUGCAGAUACUAGCUGAAUGUAAGGUUGCUGUCAAGAGGAAUUUGUUGAGAGGAUCAUGGCUGCAUGCAAGCAAGCUGAUAUUUUGUUGUUAGAUGCUUAGAUGCUUGAAAUACUAGUAUGAUGUCAAGCGUUCAUAAGUUUUGGGGACCUGAUGUACUCUCAGGCUGUAACUCUAUGUGUUUGUAAAUUUUUUUUGUGAAUAUCUGUCGGUUAUAUGUUGCAUAUUUGACUUCAUAUAUUUCUAGAUUUUCAUUGCGUCAAAACAUCUAGUUGGUUGAAAACAAAUCCAAAAAUACCAAAAUAACGUCAUGAAUAAAAUGCAAUAAAAU
Lolium perenne is the source of this 2558-nucleotide long non-coding RNA. RefSeq lists it as uncharacterized. The record is from RefSeq and is a predicted model, not a curated record. NCBI's taxonomy places the organism in Eukaryota, Viridiplantae, Streptophyta, Magnoliopsida, Poales, Poaceae.